This 253-nucleotide ribosomal RNA is filed under the name uncultured bacterium. RNAcentral's name for it is "partial 16S ribosomal RNA". It matches the Rfam family "Bacterial small subunit ribosomal RNA", at positions 524 to 776 of the family's 1533-position model. The record is from RNAcentral.
UACGAAGGGUGCUAGCGUUGUUCGGAAUUACUGGGCGUAAAGCGCGCGUAGGCGGCUAUGCAAGUCAGAGGUGAAAUCCCGGAGCUCAACUCCGGAACUGCCUUUGAAACUGCAUAGCUAGAGUAUUGGAGGGGAGUGCGGAAUUGCUAAUGUAGAGGUGAAAUUCGUAGAUAUUAGCAGGAACACCGGUGGCGAAGGCGGCACUCUGGACAAUUACUGACGCUAAAGUGCGAAAGCGUGGGGAGCAAACAGG